AUGCAGCAGGGAACAAGUGUUUAGGGUGAACUCAGACAGGACAUGAGGGGCUCAGCACCUUCCCUGCUUUUCCUCUUCUGCCUCUUAUUCACAGCUUUCAAUCCUGUGGGUAGAAUUAAUUUCUCAAAUCUGCUUUUAACAAUAUAAAUAUUAACUCUAUCAAGCUAUCUAAACAAAGUAAUGUUCCUAAGCUCCUCCAGGAAGAGCCUGAAAAUUUUUCUCAUCAUGUAGAUAGCUUUAAUACAUUUACUCUUGUAAGGAGUGUGCUUAACUCUGGUAAAUUAUGAAUGUACUCACAUACACAAAGAAAGAGCAGCCAGCCAGGGAGGAAAAGGGAGCUGGAUACCACCCCCUAUAAUUAAUUGCAUCUUUUCUUCUGCCACAAAGGUUCUCAACAAGAAUGGAAAAUUAGAAGGGUGGCUUCUUGUGACAAAUGAAGAAGAGUUAAUGUUCCAGAAAUAAAAUUUUGAUUCAAA
Molecule: long non-coding RNA, 476 nt
Organism: Passer domesticus (house sparrow)
Lineage: Eukaryota; Metazoa; Chordata; Aves; Passeriformes; Passeridae
Exons: 2
Source: RefSeq, a predicted model, not a curated record